This 468-nucleotide ribosomal RNA is filed under the name uncultured bacterium. RNAcentral describes it as "partial 16S ribosomal RNA". It matches the Rfam family "Bacterial small subunit ribosomal RNA", at positions 28 to 507 of the family's 1533-position model. The record is from RNAcentral.
GACGAACGCUGGCGGCGUGCUUAACACAUGCAAGUCGAACGGAAAGGCCCUGCUUUUGUGGGGUGCUCGAGUGGCGAACGGGUGAGUAACACGUGAGUAACCUGCCCUUGACUUUGGGAUAACUUCAGGAAACUGGGGCUAAUACCGGAUAGGAGCUCCUGCUGCAUGGUGGGGGUUGGAAAGUUUCGGCGGUUGGGGAUGGACUCGCGGCUUAUCAGUUUGUUGGUGGGGUAGUGGCUUACCAAGGCUUUGACGGGUAGCCGGCCUGAGAGGGUGACCGGCCACAUUGGGACUGAGAUACGGCCCAGACUCCUACGGGAGGCAGCAGUGGGGAAUAUUGCACAAUGGGCGGAAGCCUGAUGCAGCAACGCCGCGUGCGGGAUGACGGCCUUCGGGUUGUAAACCGCUUUCGCCUGUGACGAAGCGUGGGUGACGGUAAUGGGUAAAGAAGCACCGGCUAACUACGUG